UUGUUUUUGGGUGAUAUAACCCUUUGAUAUUUCUUUCGAUUGGUGUGCUAGGGAACACCAAGUUUUCAUUUCUUUUUGUGCAGAAAAAAUGUACGCUCCUGCAUGUGUGAUGUCAAUAUAUAUUGCAGCAGAAGCCCUACCUCCCCAACCCACGCCAGCACUCCCACCCCAACCGCAAGCCCCACAACCACAGCCGGCUCCUCAUCAACCAAGGCAACGGAGGCGUGCUAGGCCACCAAUUUUCAGAACCCGUGUCCUACUUUUUGGGAUGCCAGAUGAUGUGGUGGUGCGUAGAUACCGGCUGCCACCACAUCUAAUCCUAGACACUCUCUCCAUAAUAGAGAGUGAUCUGGAGUCUGAAAUUCGGUAUCCUACAGCAAUACCACCAUUGACACAAUUCCUUGCAGUGUUACAUUUUUUGGCUACAGCCUCAUAUCAGCAUGUUGUGGGAGACCUGGUUGGCAUGUCGCAGGGCCAGUUCAGUAAGGUCCUGCGGCGUGUCUGCCAGGCUUUCCUAAAGCGGGUGAAGCAGUUCAUUGAUAUGCCUUUGGAUGUUGGUGCCCUAGAUGUGGUGAAGCGGCAAUUUGCGGAAGGUGGUAGUCGCUUCCCACAUGUUAUUGGGGUUGUGGAUGGCACACAUGUUGCUAUUCAGCCACCAAGACAUAAUGAAGAAAUUUUUAGAAACAGGAAACUGUUUCAUUCUCUGAAUGUAAUGGUUGUUUGUGGGCCAUCCCUCCAGAUCCUUUCCCUGAAUGCAAAGUUUACUGGAAGUUCCCAUGAUGCAUAUGUCAUUAGACAAUCAGGGAUAUGGCAGAGAUUAAGAUCAAGUCAACGAGCAGACAUGUGGUUAUUGGGAGACCGUGGAUAUCCUUGCACCCCCUGGCUCAUGACUCCUUACCGUAAUCCCAGGCCAGGACCACAGAUGGCAUUUAACUCCGCGCUUACUGCCACUAGGCAGCC
Molecule: long non-coding RNA, 960 nt
Organism: Pseudophryne corroboree (corroboree frog)
Lineage: Eukaryota; Metazoa; Chordata; Amphibia; Anura; Myobatrachidae
Exons: 4
Source: RefSeq, a predicted model, not a curated record